UAAGCGACUAAGCGUACACGGUGGAUGCCCUGGCAGUCAGAGGCGAUGAAGGACGUGCUAAUCUGCGAUAAGCGUCGGUAAGGUGAUAUGAACCGUUAUAACCGGCGAUUUCCGAAUGGGGAAACCCAGUGUGUUUCGACACACUAUCAUUAACUGAAUCCAUAGGUUAAUGAGGCGAACCGGGGGAACUGAAACAUCUAAGUACCCCGAGGAAAAGAAAUCAACCGAGAUUCCCCCAGUAGCGGCGAGCGAACGGGGAGCAGCCCAGAGCCUGAAUCAGUGUGUGUGUUAGUGGAAGCGUCUGGAAAGGCGCGCGAUACAGGGUGACAGCCCCGUACACAAAAAUGCACAUGCUGUGAGCUCGAUGAGUAGGGCGGGACACGUGGUAUCCUGUCUGAAUAUGGGGGGACCAUCCUCCAAGGCUAAAUACUCCUGACUGACCGAUAGUGAACCAGUACCGUGAGGGAAAGGCGAAAAGAACCCCGGCGAGGGGAGUGAAAAAGAACCUGAAACCGUGUACGUACAAGCAGUGGGAGCACGCUUCGGCGUGUGACUGCGUACCUUUUGUAUAAUGGGUCAGCGACUUAUAUUCUGUAGCAAGGUUAACCGAAUAGGGGAGCCGAAGGGAAACCGAGUCUUAACUGGGCGUUAAGUUGCAGGGUAUAGACCCGAAACCCGGUGAUCUAGCCAUGGGCAGGUUGAAGGUUGGGUAACACUAACUGGAGGACCGAACCGACUAAUGUUGAAAAAUUAGCGGAUGACUUGUGGCUGGGGGUGAAAGGCCAAUCAAACCGGGAGAUAGCUGGUUCUCCCCGAAAGCUAUUUAGGUAGCGCCUCGUGAAUUCAUCUCCGGGGGUAGAGCACUGUUUCGGCAAGGGGGUCAUCCCGACUUACCAACCCGAUGCAAACUGCGAAUACCGGAGAAUGUUAUCACGGGAGACACACGGCGGGUGCUAACGUCCGUCGUGAAGAGGGAAACAACCCAGACCGCCAGCUAAGGUCCCAAAGUCAUGGUUAAGUGGGAAACGAUGUGGGAAGGCCCAGACAGCCAGGAUGUUGGCUUAGAAGCAGCCAUCAUUUAAAGAAAGCGUAAUAGCUCACUGGUCGAGUCGGCCUGCGCGGAAGAUGUAACGGGGCUAAACCAUGCACCGAAGCUGCGGCAGCGACGCUGAUGCGUUGUUGGGUAGGGGAGCGUUCUGUAAGCCUGCGAAGGUGUGCUGUGAGGCAUGCUGGAGGUAUCAGAAGUGCGAAUGCUGACAUAAGUAACGAUAAAGCGGGUGAAAAGCCCGCUCGCCGGAAGACCAAGGGUUCCUGUCCAACGUUAAUCGGGGCAGGGUGAGUCGACCCCUAAGGCGAGGCCGAAAGGCGUAGUCGAUGGGAAACAGGUUAAUAUUCCUGUACUUGGUGUUACUGCGAAGGGGGGACGGAGAAGGCUAUGUUGGCCGGGCGACGGUUGUCCCGGUUUAAGCGUGUAGGCUGGUUUUCCAGGCAAAUCCGGAAAAUCAAGGCUGAGGCGUGAUGACGAGGCACUACGGUGCUGAAGCAACAAAUGCCCUGCUUCCAGGAAAAGCCUCUAAGCAUCAGGUAACAUCAAAUCGUACCCCAAACCGACACAGGUGGUCAGGUAGAGAAUACCAAGGCGCUUGAGAGAACUCGGGUGAAGGAACUAGGCAAAAUGGUGCCGUAACUUCGGGAGAAGGCACGCUGAUAUGUAGGUGAGGUCCCUCGCGGAUGGAGCUGAAAUCAGUCGAAGAUACCAGCUGGCUGCAACUGUUUAUUAAAAACACAGCACUGUGCAAACACGAAAGUGGACGUAUACGGUGUGACGCCUGCCCGGUGCCGGAAGGUUAAUUGAUGGGGUCAGCGCAAGCGAAGCUCUUGAUCGAAGCCCCGGUAAACGGCGGCCGUAACUAUAACGGUCCUAAGGUAGCGAAAUUCCUUGUCGGGUAAGUUCCGACCUGCACGAAUGGCGUAAUGAUGGCCAGGCUGUCUCCACCCGAGACUCAGUGAAAUUGAACUCGCUGUGAAGAUGCAGUGUACCCGCGGCAAGACGGAAAGACCCCGUGAACCUUUACUAUAGCUUGACACUGAACAUUGAGCCUUGAUGUGUAGGAUAGGUGGGAGGCUUUGAAGUGUGGACGCCAGUCUGCAUGGAGCCGACCUUGAAAUACCACCCUUUAAUGUUUGAUGUUCUAACGUUGACCCGUAAUCCGGGUUGCGGACAGUGUCUGGUGGGUAGUUUGACUGGGGCGGUCUCCUCCUAAAGAGUAACGGAGGAGCACGAAGGUUGGCUAAUCCUGGUCGGACAUCAGGAGGUUAGUGCAAUGGCAUAAGCCAGCUUGACUGCGAGCGUGACGGCGCGAGCAGGUGCGAAAGCAGGUCAUAGUGAUCCGGUGGUUCUGAAUGGAAGGGCCAUCGCUCAACGGAUAAAAGGUACUCCGGGGAUAACAGGCUGAUACCGCCCAAGAGUUCAUAUCGACGGCGGUGUUUGGCACCUCGAUGUCGGCUCAUCACAUCCUGGGGCUGAAGUAGGUCCCAAGGGUAUGGCUGUUCGCCAUUUAAAGUGGUACGCGAGCUGGGUUUAGAACGUCGUGAGACAGUUCGGUCCCUAUCUGCCGUGGGCGCUGGAGAACUGAGGGGGGCUGCUCCUAGUACGAGAGGACCGGAGUGGACGCAUCACUGGUGUUCGGGUUGUCAUGCCAAUGGCACUGCCCGGUAGCUAAAUGCGGAAGAGAUAAGUGCUGAAAGCAUCUAAGCACGAAACUUGCCCCGAGAUGAGUUCUCCCUGACUCCUUGAGAGUCCUGAAGGAACGUUGAAGACGACGACGUUGAUAGGCCGGGUGUGUAAGCGCAGCGAUGCGUUGAGCUAACCGGUACUAAUGAACCGUGAGGCUUAACCU
Molecule: ribosomal RNA, 2900 nt
Filed under: Escherichia coli 4-203-08_S1_C1
Lineage: Bacteria; Pseudomonadati; Pseudomonadota; Gammaproteobacteria; Enterobacterales; Enterobacteriaceae
Description: bacterial LSU rRNA
Rfam family: Bacterial large subunit ribosomal RNA
Source: RNAcentral